AUGCACACCGGUUUGGUCAGGGAGGUGAUUGCCUUAAUUUUCUCCGGCUUAGCUUCAAUACCUCUGUUAGACACCAAAAAACCCAAGCUUGCCAGCUGGGACUCCAAAAACACACUUGGCCGGGUUAAGCAUCAUCUUGUAGACCCGGAGGUUAUCAAAGGUCUCCUUCAGAUCUGUUACCAAGGUUUCCUCUUCUCUGGAUUUCACCACUAUAUAAUCCACAUAAGCAUGAACAUCAUGCCCAAUCUGAUUGUGAAGGCAAUUCUGUACACACCGUUGAUAAGUCGCCUGGGCACUUUUAAGCCCAAAAGGCAUAGACACAUAGCAGAAGGAUCCAAACGGAGUGAUGAAAGUUGUUUCUCCUGGUCCUUAACUGCCAUCUUGAUCUGA
This 390-nucleotide ribosomal RNA is filed under the name Triticum aestivum (bread wheat). RNAcentral's name for it is "partial small subunit ribosomal RNA". Lineage: Eukaryota; Viridiplantae; Streptophyta; Magnoliopsida; Poales; Poaceae. The record is from RNAcentral.